Dama dama (fallow deer) is the source of this 194-nucleotide long non-coding RNA. RefSeq lists it as uncharacterized. NCBI's taxonomy places the organism in Eukaryota, Metazoa, Chordata, Mammalia, Artiodactyla, Cervidae. The transcript has 3 exons. The record is from RefSeq and is a predicted model, not a curated record.
CGGGAGUACACGUCGACAGCCGCCCGCAGGACACGCGGCAGACGCGCCACGGCCGCCGCCAGGGCCAACAAUAAGCUCUGAGCCGGGAACCUGGGACCUGUGCCGUGACAGGGUUGGCUGGCGGCCCAGAGAGAAGAGCCGUGUGGAGCCGAAGAGGUGGGUGGACCGCACGGCCCUGGAGCAGAGAUACCGGC